Molecule: ribosomal RNA, 497 nt
Filed under: uncultured bacterium
Lineage: Bacteria
Description: partial 16S ribosomal RNA
Rfam family: Bacterial small subunit ribosomal RNA
Source: RNAcentral
GAUGAACGCUGGCGGCGUGCCUAAUACAUGCAAGUCGAGCGAACGGACGAGAAGCUUGCUUCUCUGAUGUUAGCGGUGGACGGGUAAGUAACACGUGGAUAACCUACCUAUAAGACUGGGAUAACUUCGGGAAACCGGAGCUAAUACCGGAUAAUAUUUUGAACCGCAUGGUUCAAAAGUGAAAGACGGUCUUGCUGUCACUUAUAGAUGGAUCCGCGCUGCAUUAGCUAGUUGGUAAGGUAACGGCUUACCAAGGCAACGAUGCAUAGCCGACCUGAGAGGGUGAUCGGCCACACUGGAACUGAGACACGGUCCAGACUCCUACGGGAGGCAGCAGUAGGGAAUCUUCCGCAAUGGGCGAAAGCCUGACGGAGCAACGCCGCGUGAGUGAUGAAGGUCUUCGGAUCGUAAAACUCUGUUAUUAGGGAAGAACAUAUGUGUAAGUAACUGUGCACAUCUUGACGGUACCUAAUCAGAAAGCCACGGCUAACUACGUG